CACAGCCCCAGUUACCUGGGCAACAGAGGCCACACCAUUUGUCAGCGACGAAUGCUCUGGACCACAGGAACACGUACAGCUCAGGACCAGGCUUGUUGUUUACCUCAUGGACUCACUAUUUGGCUCCCGCCACGUUCAGGACGGAGGGACGCUCAUCGUCCAAUCCGCUGCGAGAAACAAGAUUCGGAAGAGGGACGUCAUAUCCGAUAAUCUCUUUGCACUUGCGACCAGCCUGUGAAACACUGAGUAGAAGUCGCAGGGCUUCAGCCUUGUGCUCCUCUUUGCUCUGAGAGUGGUUCACGAUGUCUAAGAGAGUGAGAACGCCUCCAUCCUCCAGGAACUCCA
This is a long non-coding RNA of Mugil cephalus (flathead mullet), 345 nucleotides long. RefSeq lists it as uncharacterized. NCBI's taxonomy places the organism in Eukaryota, Metazoa, Chordata, Actinopteri, Mugiliformes, Mugilidae. The record is from RefSeq and is a predicted model, not a curated record. The transcript has 3 exons.